UAUCUUUGCAGCUUGAUUACGAAAAUCGUAUCAAUACAUAAAAAUCAUUUACAAUAAUAUUAGCAUG
Molecule: non-coding RNA, 67 nt
Filed under: unclassified sequences
Description: S15-Flavobacteria ribosomal protein leader
Rfam family: S15-Flavobacteria ribosomal protein leader
Source: RNAcentral